GUGUAGCAGCCGCGGUAAUACGUAGGUGGCAAGCGUUAUCCGGAAUUAUUGGGCGUAAAGCGCGCGCAGGUGGUUUCUUAAGUCUGAUGUGAAAGCCCACGGCUCAACCGUGGAGGGUCAUUGGAAACUGGGGAACUUGAGUGCAGAAGAGGAGAGCGGAAUUCCACGUGUAGCGGUGAAAUGCGUAGAUAUGUGGAGGAACACCAGUGGCGAAGGCGGCUCUCUGGUCUGUAACUGACGCUGAGGCGCGAAAGCAUGGGUAGCGAACAGGAUUAGAAACCCCGGUAGUCC
RNAcentral lists this ribosomal RNA (291 nucleotides) under uncultured prokaryote. RNAcentral describes it as "partial 16S ribosomal RNA". It matches the Rfam family "Bacterial small subunit ribosomal RNA", at positions 505 to 796 of the family's 1533-position model. The record is from RNAcentral.